This 260-nucleotide ribosomal RNA is filed under the name uncultured archaeon. Its description in RNAcentral is "partial 16S ribosomal RNA". It matches the Rfam family "Archaeal small subunit ribosomal RNA", at positions 748 to 1009 of the family's 1478-position model. The record is from RNAcentral.
CAGCCGUAAGCUAUGCGCGUUAGGUGUAUCGGUGACCACGAGUUACCGAGGUGCCGAAGGGAAACCGUGAAACGUGCCGCCUGGGAAGUACGGUCGCAAGGCUGAAACUUAAAGGAAUUGGCGGGGGAGCACCACAACAGGUGGAGCCUGCGGUUUAAUUGGAUUCAACACCGGAAACUCACCAGUGAAGACUGUUACAUGAAAGCCAGGCUGAUGACCUUGCUAGAUUUUCAGAGAGGAGGUGCAUAGCGUAGACGUCU